This 467-nucleotide ribosomal RNA is filed under the name uncultured bacterium. Its description in RNAcentral is "partial 16S ribosomal RNA". It matches the Rfam family "Bacterial small subunit ribosomal RNA", at positions 28 to 506 of the family's 1533-position model. The record is from RNAcentral.
GACGAACGUUGGCGGCGUGCUUAACACAUGCAAGUCGAACGGAAAGGCCCUGCUUUUGUGGGGUGCUCGAGUGGCGAACGGGUGAGUAACACGUGAGUAACCUGCCCUUGACUUUGGGAUAACUUCAGGAAACUGGGGCUAAUACCGGAUAGGAGCUCCUGCUGCAUGGUGGGGGUUGGAAAGUUUCGGCGGUUGGGGAUGGACUCGCGGCUUAUCAGCUUGUUGGUGGGGUAGUGGCUUACCAAGGCUUUGACGGGUAGCCGGCCUGAGAGGGUGACCGGCCACAUUGGGACUGAGAUACGGCCCAGACUCCUACGGGAGGCAGCAGUGGGGAAUAUUGCACAAUGGGCGGAAGCCUGAUGCAGCAACGCCGCGUGCGGGAUGACGGCCUUCGGGUUGUAAACCGCUUUCGCCUGUGACGAAGCGUGAGUGACGGUAAUGGGUAAAGAAGCACCGGCUAACUACGU